RNAcentral lists this ribosomal RNA (252 nucleotides) under Veillonella atypica KON. Its description in RNAcentral is "partial 16S ribosomal RNA". It matches the Rfam family "Bacterial small subunit ribosomal RNA", at positions 524 to 776 of the family's 1533-position model. The record is from RNAcentral. Lineage: Bacteria; Bacillati; Bacillota; Negativicutes; Veillonellales; Veillonellaceae. RNAcentral also lists the same sequence under 1 other name.
UACGUAGGUGGCAAGCGUUGUCCGGAAUUAUUGGGCGUAAAGCGCGCGCAGGCGGAUCAGUCAGUCUGUCUUAAAAGUUCGGGGCUUAACCCCGUGAGGGGAUGGAAACUGCUGAUCUAGAGUAUCGGAGAGGAAAGUGGAAUUCCUAGUGUAGCGGUGAAAUGCGUAGAUAUUAGGAAGAACACCAGUGGCGAAGGCGACUUUCUGGACGAAAACUGACGCUGAGGCGCGAAAGCCAGGGGAGCGAACGGG